CUGUCAUAUGAAAAGCAGAACAGCCUCACAUCGUCAGGUAAUCCUGAAGCGAACAAACCAUACUCUGCCAUUGAAAACACGGAAAUUCAAUCCUCUGUGUCAAGUGCUAUCAUAGACACACCACCUAUCUUCCUGGCAUUGAUAUUCAACUCCACUUGGUGUCUUGGAUUUGCUGAAGAAUGUGCAUUGAUGGUGAACAACAGGGUGGAGAGGUCAAAUAGAAACAGGUGAAAAUUGGAGAGAUUGAAAGACUGACCAGGAGAAACUCAUGGGGCGCCUGGGUGGCUCAGUCGAUUAAGUCUC
This is a long non-coding RNA of Suricata suricatta (meerkat), 303 nucleotides long. RefSeq lists it as uncharacterized. The transcript is spliced from 4 exons. NCBI's taxonomy places the organism in Eukaryota, Metazoa, Chordata, Mammalia, Carnivora, Herpestidae. The record is from RefSeq and is a predicted model, not a curated record.